AAAAGAAGUGAUAGGUCCUUUCUAUGCCAAGUCUUACAAACGGCAAAGAAGACGGAAACGUGGAACAACGGAAACAGCUAACUGCUGUGCUGUGCUGUGCUGUGCUCGCCUUGGUUCCUCCAAUUCUGAGGCUAACCACCUCCAAAGUAAGCUCUGGAAUUUCUCUUCUCUGUCCAAAAUCAGACCAGAUUACUUCCACUUCUCAUCACUAUGCUUCUCCAUUUACCUUCCCAGAAAACCUUCUCUGUAAGUAUUCCUCUUCCUCUCCCUCGAAAAUGAAAUGAUUGUGCGUUUUGUUCUUGAAUUUUUUAUUUCUGUAUUCUUCUUGGAGUUGAAAUUUACCAUGCAGGCAUUCACAAGUAGAAGAAAGUUUCUGGGAACUUUCAUUAGAGGCAAGUUGUAUGAUCCAUUUUAAUCUUUGAUCGAUUUUAGCAUCACAGAUGAUUGACAGCCUCUCUUUUCUUCUAAACUCUUGUGGGUUUAAAGAUUUUGUUCAAUCGCCGAGCAGAGGGAGAUGGUUCAUUCCUUUUCGACCUUAUGUAAAGUUUGAGCAAACGACGUGCCGUAUCUCAGUUCCUGGGAAUGAAGAAAAUGCGCCUUCAAGCUAUUUGAGGGACAAGAAGAAGAUGGUUCCUCAUUCAGACCCUCCCAGCAAUAAGGAUGUUAAUCUUUUGUAUCAAUUUUUUGAUCAUAGCACUAAUCUCGUGGUAUUGAGUGGAGCUGGAAUUAGUACAGAGUGUGGAAUUCCUGAUUACAGAAGCUUGUGCUGAGGACGUGCCAGUGACCAGCAGUUUUGUGUUAUGGUGGCAACUGUGGAUGUGGCUAGUUUUUCUUUUUUGUUUGAUUGAUCUAGUGAAUCCCUCAUUUUAUAUUUUCUUUCUCCAUCCCUCUGUUAUCACUUUAUGUAACUGUCUCGAAUACGAUUCAAAAAUUUCUUCUUCGUCAUCUUCUUGUUUUUCCCCCUUUGUUCUAAAGUUGGGAUUGCAGUUAAAUCUUUUUAUUUCUCAAAGCAUUUAAGGUGAAAUUUAUCUCUGCUGAAUUAAGAGUACCAUAUGCACUCAAUAUGUCACAUUCUUAUUUUUUUGCAGCCCGAAUGGAGCUUACAGUUCUGGUUUCAAACCAAUUACUCAUCAGGAGUUUCUUCAUUCAAGUCGGGCCCGCAGGCGGUAUUGGGCUCGGAGCUAUGCUGGAUGGAGACAGUUUACUGCUGCACAGCCUGGUGCAGCUCAUUUUGCUUUAGCAUCACUAGAAAAGGCAGGCCGUGUCAAUUUUAUGGUUACACAAAAUGUUGACAGACUACAUCAUCGUGCUGGGAGCAAUCCACUUGAAUUACAUGGAACUGUGUAUUCCGUCAUUUGUCUAGACUGCAGUUUUUCCUUUAGUCGGAAUUUAUUUCAGGACCAGCUGAAGGCCCUCAAUCCAAAGUGGGCUGCAGCAGUUGAAAGUUUGGAUUAUGGAAGUCCUGGAUCAGACAAAAGCUUUGGCAUGAAGCAGAGGCCAGAUGGUGAUAUUGAGAUUGAUGAAAAAUUCUGGGAGGAAGAUUUCCACAUACCUACAUGCCAAAAGUGCAAUGGGGUGCUCAAACCUGAUGUUGUUUUCUUUGGUGAUAAUGUUCCAAAGGAUAGAGCAGACAAGGCAAUGGAGGCUGCAAAAGGAUGUGAUUCAUUCCUUGUUCUGGGAUCAUCUCUAAUGACCAUGUCUGCUUUUCGACUUGUUAGGGCUGCUCAUGAGGCGGGUGCUGCUACGGCAAUUGUAAAUGUAGGAGUGACAAGAGCUGAUGAUUUUGUGCCCUUGAGAAUUAAUGCCCGAUUAGGAGAGGUAAAGUCCUCUGAAACCAACUUGGGAGCUAGCUUCUGCCAUUUUGUGUUACUUUUGUUGAUCCUCAGCAUUUUGUGUUAAUCCCCAUGGAUUUUUAAUAGAUACUGCCUAGAGUGAUUGAUAUUGGAUACCUUAGCAUCCCUGCUUUCUAGGUAUGAUAUUGGAAACCAGGUAUAUUCCAUUCUUUUCAAUCCCAAAAAUGGUGUUGAUGGCUAUCAAAUCAUUUUGGUAAAUGGUAAGAUUUCAAGAGCAAUGAAUUGAAUGGUUCAUGUUUUCUCCUUUUGUUUCUAGGUGAGGACUUCAAAUGAAGGAUGCAUCUGUACCCAUUACAAAGUAAUUACGUUUACUUCCUGUUUUAACCAUAAAAGCUGAAAAGCAAUACCAAAGAAUUGACAAUUUUUAUUUUUAUUUUUUGGUGAAAGCAAUUUACAAUUUUUAAUUGUUUGCUUUGAAUGUAUUGUUUCAAAUUUUCACCUGAUUAGAGUCGAUUAACCAAUUAUGGGCAGAGAUUCUUCUUUAGGCUCUCUUUGAGAUUGUGAUCGAGAGACGAAAAGUAUUUUUUAGACAACAUUUUAUUGAUUUAUGUUUUCUCAUUUUUCAUUCAAAGACAAAAUGUCCCAAGGGUUCCAGUUACUAAAACGAGCUUUAUCCCUG
Molecule: unclassified non-coding RNA, 2472 nt
Filed under: Hevea brasiliensis (rubber tree)
Lineage: Eukaryota; Viridiplantae; Streptophyta; Magnoliopsida; Malpighiales; Euphorbiaceae
Source: RNAcentral